GAUGAACGCUGGCGGCGUGCCUAACACAUGCAAGUCGAACGGAGUCCAGCCUUUAAGACCUUCGGGUCAAAGAGGGGAAGACUGAGUGGCGGACGGGUGAGUAACACGUGGGCAACCUGGCUCAUAGAGGGGGAUAACAGAGAGAAAUUUCUGCUAAUACCGCAUAAGCACACACUGCCGCAUGGCAGAGGGUGAAAAGAGAAUCGCUAUGAGAUGGACCCGCGUCUGAUUAGCCAGUUGGCAGGGUAAGAGCCUACCAAAGCGACGAUCAGUAGCCGAUCUGAGAGGAUGAACGGCCACAUUGGGACUGAGACACGGCCCAAACUCCUACGGGAGGCAGCAGUGGGGGAUAUUGCACAAUGGGGGGAACCCUGAUGCAGCGACGCCGCGUGAGUGAAGAAGUAUUUCGGUAGGUAAAGCUCUAUCAGCAGGGAAGAUAAUGACAGUACCUGAAUAAGAAGCCCCGGCUAACUACGU
Molecule: ribosomal RNA, 477 nt
Filed under: uncultured bacterium
Lineage: Bacteria
Description: partial 16S ribosomal RNA
Rfam family: Bacterial small subunit ribosomal RNA
Source: RNAcentral